UGAUCCAUAGCUCAAUUCGGCAGAGCGCCCGACUGUUAAUCGGGUGGUUGUAGGUUCAAGUCCUACUGGGUCAGC
This 75-nucleotide transfer RNA is filed under the name Gordonia phage Hotorobo. RNAcentral describes it as "tRNA-Asn". It matches the Rfam family "tRNA". From Rfam's summary of the family: Transfer RNA (tRNA) molecules are approximately 80 nucleotides in length. Their secondary structure includes four short double-helical elements and three loops (D, anti-codon, and T loops). RNAcentral also lists the same sequence under 22 other names. Lineage: Duplodnaviria; Heunggongvirae; Uroviricota; Caudoviricetes. The record is from RNAcentral.